GACGAACGCUGGCGGCGUGCUUAACACAUGCAAGUCGAACGGAAAGGCCCUGCUUUUGUGGGGUGCUCGAGUGGCGAACAGGUGAGUAACACGUGAGUAACCUGCCCUUGACUUUGGGAUAACUUCAGGAAACUGGGGCUAAUACCGGAUAGGAGCUCCUGCUGCAUGGUGGGGGUUGGAAAGUUUCGGCGGUUGGGGAUGGACUCGCGGCUUAUCAGCUUGUUGGUGGGGUAGUGGCUUACCAAGGCUUUGACGGGUAGCCGGCCUGAGAGGGUGACCGGCCACAUUGGGACUGAGAUACGGCCCAGACUCCUACGGGAGGCAGCAGUGGGGAAUAUUGCACAAUGGGCGGAAGCCUGAUGCAGCAACGCCGCGUGCGGGAUGACGGCCUUCGGGGUGUAAACCGCUUUCGCCUGUGACGAAGCGUGAGUGACGGUAAUGGGUAAAGAAGCACCGGCUAACUACGUG
RNAcentral lists this ribosomal RNA (468 nucleotides) under uncultured bacterium. Its description in RNAcentral is "partial 16S ribosomal RNA". It matches the Rfam family "Bacterial small subunit ribosomal RNA", at positions 28 to 507 of the family's 1533-position model. The record is from RNAcentral.